UAGGCGUAAACGAUACUCGCUAGGUGUCGGCCACGGUGCGACCGUUGUCGGUGCCGUAGGGAAGCCGUGAAGCGAGCCACCUGGGAAGUACGGCCGCAAGGCUGAAACUUAAAGGAAUUGGCGGGGGAGCACCACAACAGGUGGAGCCUGCGGUUUAAUUGGACUCAACGCCGGAAAUCUCACCGGAUAAGACAGCGGAAUGAUUGCCGGGCUGAAGACUCUGCAUGACUAGCUGAGAGGUGGUGCAUGGCGUCAGUGACU
This 261-nucleotide ribosomal RNA is filed under the name uncultured archaeon. Its description in RNAcentral is "partial 16S ribosomal RNA". It matches the Rfam family "Archaeal small subunit ribosomal RNA", at positions 748 to 1008 of the family's 1478-position model. The record is from RNAcentral.